CCUACGGGGUGCUGCAGUGGGGAAUAUUGGACAAUGGGCGAAAGCCUGAUCCAGCCAUGCCGCGUGUGUGAAGAAGGCCUUCGGGUUGUAAAGCACUUUCAGUGGGGAAGAAAGCCUUGGGGCUAAUACCCUCGAGGAAGGACAUCACCCACAGAAGAAGCACCGGCUAACUCCGUGCCAGCAGCCGCGGUAAUACGGAGGGUGCGAGCGUUAAUCGGAAUUACUGGGCGUAAAGCGCGCGUAGGCGGUCUGAUAAGCCGGUUGUGAAAGCCCCGGGCUCAACCUGGGAACGGCAUCCGGAACUGUCAGGCUAGAGUGCAGGAGAGGAAGGUAGAAUUCCCGGUGUAGCGGUGAAAUGCGUAGAGAUCGGGAGGAAUACCAGUGGCGAAGGCGGCCUUCUGGACUGACACUGACGCUGAGGUGCGAAAGCGUGGGUAGCAAACAGGAUUAGAUCCCGUGUAGUC
This 464-nucleotide ribosomal RNA is filed under the name Vreelandella stevensii. RNAcentral's name for it is "partial 16S ribosomal RNA". It matches the Rfam family "Bacterial small subunit ribosomal RNA", at positions 338 to 795 of the family's 1533-position model. The record is from RNAcentral. Lineage: Bacteria; Pseudomonadati; Pseudomonadota; Gammaproteobacteria; Oceanospirillales; Halomonadaceae.